Molecule: ribosomal RNA, 155 nt
Filed under: Tremelloscypha gelatinosa
Lineage: Eukaryota; Fungi; Basidiomycota; Agaricomycetes; Sebacinales; Sebacinaceae
Description: 5.8S ribosomal RNA
Rfam family: 5.8S ribosomal RNA
About the family: 5.8S ribosomal RNA (5.8S rRNA) is a component of the large subunit of the eukaryotic ribosome.
Source: RNAcentral
AACUUUCAACAACGGAUCUCUUGGCUCUCGCAUCGAUGAAGAACGCAGCGAAAUGCGAUAAGUAAUGUGAAUUGCAGAAUUCAGUGAAUCAUCGAAUCUUUGAACGGACCUUGCACCCUUUGGCAUUCCGAAGGGUAUGCUCGUUUGAGUGUCAU